This 513-nucleotide ribosomal RNA is filed under the name uncultured bacterium. RNAcentral's name for it is "bacterial SSU rRNA". It matches the Rfam family "Bacterial small subunit ribosomal RNA", at positions 15 to 518 of the family's 1533-position model. The record is from RNAcentral.
GAUCUUGGUUCGGGAUGAACGCUAGCGACAGGCUUAACACAUGCAAGGUCGAGGGGCAGCAUGGGAGUGGCAACACCCCCGAUGGCGACCGGCGCACUGGUGAGUAACACGUAUGCAACCUGCCCCCUACAGGGGAAUAACCCAGAGAAAUUUGGCCUAAUGCCCCGUAGUCCGCCCCAGGGCAUCCUGGGACGGGGAAAGCUCCGGCGGUAGGGGAUGGGCAUGCGGCGCAUUAGCUAGUUGGCGGGGUGACGGCCCACCAAGGCGACGAUGCGUAGGGGUUCUGAGAGGAAGGUCCCCCACACUGGUACUGAGACACGGACCAGACUCCUACGGGAGGCAGCAGUGAGGAAUAUUGGUCAAUGGGCGCAGGCCUGAACCAGCCCAAGUCGCGUGCGGGAAGACGGCCCUACGGGUUGUAAACCGCUUUAGCCGGGGAGUAACGGGCGCCACGCGUGGCGCCGUGAGAGUACCCGGAGAAUAAGCAUCGGCUAACUCCGUGCCAGCCGCCGC